UGGGGGAUAUUGCACAAUGGGCGAAAGCCUGAUGCAGCGACGCCGCGUGGGGGAUGAAGGCUUUCGGGUUGUAAACCUCUUUCGCUAUCGAACAAGGCCCGCUUAGGGUGGGUUGAGGGUAGGUGGAGAAGAAGCGCCGGCUAACUACGUGCCAGCAGCCGCGGUAAUACGUAGGGCGCGAGCGUUGUCCGGAAUUAUUGGGCGUAAAGGGCUUGUAGGCGGCUUGUUGCGCCUGCUGUGAAAACGCGGGGCUUAACUUCGCGCGUGCAGUGGGUACGGGCAGGCUUGAGUGUGGUAAGGGUGACUGGAAUUCCAGGUGUAGCGGUGGAAUGCGCAGAUAUCUGGGGGAACACCGAUGGCGAAGGCAGGUCACUGGGCCAUUACUGACGCUGAGGAGCGAAAGCAUGGGUAGCGAACAGG
This 420-nucleotide ribosomal RNA is filed under the name bacterium. RNAcentral describes it as "partial 16S ribosomal RNA". It matches the Rfam family "Bacterial small subunit ribosomal RNA", at positions 355 to 776 of the family's 1533-position model. The record is from RNAcentral.